This is an RNA transcript of Topomyia yanbarensis, 3056 nucleotides long. It is a transcript of the gene named tetraspanin-13, with no coding region annotated. NCBI's taxonomy places the organism in Eukaryota, Metazoa, Arthropoda, Insecta, Diptera, Culicidae. The record is from RefSeq and is a predicted model, not a curated record. The transcript is spliced from 6 exons.
CAGACGGUGCGCGUCGAACAAAAGAAAACUUCGCGAAGUAAAGAUCGCAUCGCAGCUGCAGAGGAGAAAAAGUCGAAAAAGUGCAACAUUUUUCUUUUCAUUCGCAAAAGUGGUGUGGAAAAUCCAAUUUCUGCUUGAAGAUCACCAGCAUUUUCGUCCGCUUUAGUGGUUGGAGUUGAAAAGUUGCAUCGGGAAGUGGUAAAGGUCACGACUACUAUCGACAGGAUGUGCGGAGGUUUCAGCUGUUCCAAAAAUGCCCUGAUUGCAUUGAACAUCCUCUAUGUGAUGGUUGGCUUCCUGCUGAUCGGGGUCGGCGUUUACGGGCGCGCCUCCUCCAUCGUCACCAAUCUCCCGAUAAUCGGAGGAAUUCUGGCUUGCGGUGUCAUUCUGAUUUUGAUUUCGGUUCUCGGUCUGAUCGGAGCUGCCAAACACCAUCAGGUUAUGCUGUUCUUCUACAUGAUAAUUCUGUUCAUGCUGUUCCUGAUUCAGUUCUCGAUCGCUUGCUCUUGUCUGGCGGUGAACCAGGAACAGCAGCGACAGUUUGCCGAGCAGGGCUGGUCCCUGGCACCGGCGGACAUCAAACAGCAGGUACAGGAGGAGUUCCUCUGUUGUGGUUUUAACGCGACUGCUACCGAUGAUCAUCCGUCCUGUGCGGCGGUGAAUACGAAAUGUUGCCCGGAAGGAGCUCCGGAGGGUUGCCAGUGUACCCCAUGCAUGCCGAAGCUGGAGAGUACCAUCGACUAUGCGUUCCAUUUGUCCGGCGGUAUUGGACUGUUCUUCAGCUUCACCGAGUUUAUCGGUGUCUGGCUGACCGUGCGCUAUCGCAACCAGAAAGACCCCCGGGGUAACCCGAGUGCUUUCCUCUAAGAUUGGGAGGACCCCGUAACUGAUCUUUAAGAGAACUAGUUUCGUUAGCUUUCGGUUCAAAAUUAUUCUUUUCUGUUCUCAUGAGUUUUGUUGGAUGGAAAGUGGUUAGCACACCUCGGGCGAAGGAGCGAAUUUGAUGAUCAUUGCCGUGUUUCUCACCCGUCGUUAUCGCAACCAGCAGGAUCCGGAUCACCUGCCGGCGAGGGCUAUUUUCCCCCAAAGUAACUACGUGUACUGAGGAGAGGAAAAUGAUCAACGGUAGGAUAAAUUUUCCGAAAAAAACAGACAGAGUUCAGGGAAAGUCAGACUGAUGCAUGCUGGUGAUAGUUGAUCGGAUAUAUGUAGGGGGUACAGGGUUCGUGAGUCUUUGUUUUUAUCCUCUUUCCCCCCUCGAAAAGUGGCUGGAAUAACCAAAAAAAGAGAAAGGAAUUAAGAUCACGAAUAAUACUCAUUUUGUCGCUCUUUAGUAGGAUGGUUAAUUAAAUCGGGAGAACAAUGGUUGUGCUAAUUAUUCUAAAUCCAAUGUUCACGCUAGCUUUAUUUUAGUUUCUUCAAUUAUUUUACUAGAAUAUUAGAUACGAUAUAUUUUACAAUGAAAAAAGCUCGAAUGUCUGUCAUAAUUCGAAAAUUAUUUUAAGUAGUCUUUCUUUUUGUUAAAAGUAACAAUUAUGUCUCUAAAUAUGUGAUACCAAUAAUUUUACUGAUGUGAGAAAAAUGAAUGCUUUAUCACAUUAGAAAUUUUCAACACUUUUUUGCACUAGUUUGAUCUGUUUGACAGCUAUGUCACUUUCGGUCCUCACUGCUGUCAGUUAGUUGAAAUAGACAGUCAUGAUAUCGGAGAAAAGAAAUCUUUCACAGUUCAAGUGAAAAACAACAUUCAACACAAGAAAAGUGGUCGCAAAAAUCCGGUAUGUCCUUUGCUUCACUGGCGUAUACGUAAAUAUAAGGAAACAUUUUAUUUUUGACAUAAACAAGCAGAAGUUUGUUUUUUUUGUUGUUAUUUUGCAAAAUAGCCUGCGGGACUGCUCCAUAUGAAUGCUCUGCGCAUUCAAAUCGUUAAAAAAUCGCAAGGCCAACUAUGAUGCCAGUUGACACGUGCUUUCAAUGGGAGGCUGUCUCUUGAAGGUAACGAAACAAAACAUCGAUUCUGGAGAAAAUUUUCAAUAGGACGUAGGUAACAUUGAAAGUAUUACUUUAAUUUUUUAUUCUUUCGCAAUAAAACUUUUCGCUAAUUUUCCAACACAAAUGGAAACAGGACAGUUACAAAUGUAGGAAAAAUAACGAUAACCCGGAAUUUAGCCGAAAGAACUCAAUUUUGGGCAGUUUUCGUAUCCGGAAUUGUUACGCAAUCCCGUUGAAAAUGUUCUCUAGAAUUAUCUAAAUUUCAACCUAAAUAACAAACGCUAAAUAUUUUGAUUUACCCAUGCCACUCGAAGAAACAAAUCUCUUUUCGUUAAAGCAAACCGUUUAUUUCUUAAACUACAAAAAAUAAUAUAAUUCACUGUAAUCUACACAUGAUCACUAUUUAUUCAUGCAUUUUUGCAACCCUUAUCAAUAAACAAAUCAUACACACACGCAAUAUAUAUAAUUGAGUGUAAUCAACUCAAAGGCUAUAUAAUAAAACCAUUUAUGAUAACACAUACGAGAAGUGCUUUCGUAGGGAAAUCAUCGUUAUCAAAGCAGUAGGCAUAUGUACAAUUGUAUAGCUUCCGUUCACUUCUGUCCAGUCAGUCCAAAAAGAGUCCAGAGGGAAUUGAAGGAAUGUUAGUUAAGCGUUAGAGGAGUGUACGGGAACUAUUUAUCUGUUAGCGUAUCUCUUUCGUAGGAUCCAGCCUAACGUCGCUGACGCUCUCUAAAUGCUCCCAUCUCAUCCACAUUUACUUGAUGAUCUAUGUACUAAACUGCUGUAAACAAGUUGACAGAAAACAGGAGAAGUUCAGCUACCUUGUAUAGAUGUUGUUCGCUGUUGUAACUUGUAAUCUUGUACCGUCAUCGCCAACAAUAUACGUGUCACUUCUUUGACGAUUGAUUUGCUUAUUUUCGGUUGACGAUAUGGACUACUAUCCAAUCCAGAUGUAAAUUAAAUACAAUGAAGGUAUCCAAUUCAAAAUCAGUGUAAAUGUGGUAGCUGGAGUCUAUGAAACUAGAAAUAUAUAGUAAAUACAAAACUAAGUAUUUAAGGCCUGUAA